Pelobates cultripes (western spadefoot toad) is the source of this 255-nucleotide non-coding RNA. Lineage: Eukaryota; Metazoa; Chordata; Amphibia; Anura; Pelobatidae. The record is from the annotation of a GenBank genome assembly.
CAGCACCAGUUUGGCUCCACCUCUGAUUUUGCUUAGCUCCGCCCCACUUUUCCUCCGUGCGGCCAGUUUAUCAGCUGUUUGCUUGUGUGAGCUGUACUGGCCGCACGGCACCCUAACUACCAUGGGGCACUGUGCAGCCACAGCUCACACAGCCCCCUCCAGCCAGGGCCGGUGCAAGGAUUUUUGCCGCCCUAGGCAAAAGUAAAGUUUGCCGCCCCCCCAUGUGACAUCACAAUGCCCCACCCAUAUGAUUUG